UACGGGGGGGGGCAAGCGUUGUUCGGAAUUACUGGGCGUAAAGGGCUCGUAGGGGGCCUUCUAAGUCGGACGUGAAAUCCCUCGGCUUAACCGAGGAACUGCGUCCGAGACUGAAAGGCUUGAAUCCGGGAGAGGGAUGUGGAAUUCCAGGUGUAGCGGUGAAAUGCGUAGAUAUCUGGAGGAACACCGGUGGCGAAGGCGGUUCUCUGGGCCUUACCUGACGCUGAGGAGCGAAAGCGUGGGGAGCGAACAGG
Molecule: ribosomal RNA, 254 nt
Filed under: uncultured bacterium
Lineage: Bacteria
Description: partial 16S ribosomal RNA
Rfam family: Bacterial small subunit ribosomal RNA
Source: RNAcentral